UUCAAGCAGAAAAAAAUAUCU
Molecule: non-coding RNA, 21 nt
Filed under: Caenorhabditis elegans
Lineage: Eukaryota; Metazoa; Nematoda; Chromadorea; Rhabditida; Rhabditidae
Source: RNAcentral